GCAGACUCACUCUGUUCCAAACUGCUACCUCCAGUUACGGUACUUUUUCAGUCUGCUAAAUAAACUCCAGGAUCUUCUUUAGAAGACUUUUGUUUUGUAACAAAAAGUUGUCUAGUUGAUCAUGGAACAUACAA
This is a non-coding RNA of Pelobates cultripes (western spadefoot toad), 134 nucleotides long. The record is from the annotation of a GenBank genome assembly. Lineage: Eukaryota; Metazoa; Chordata; Amphibia; Anura; Pelobatidae.